GAACAUUGAAACUGGCUAGGGAAAAUGAUUGGAUAGAAAAUAUUAUUCUAUUCAUUUAUCCCUAGCCUACAAAAU
RNAcentral lists this microRNA precursor (75 nucleotides) under Cebus imitator (Panamanian white-faced capuchin). The record is from RNAcentral. Lineage: Eukaryota; Metazoa; Chordata; Mammalia; Primates; Cebidae.